AGUUUGAUCAUGGCUCAGAUUGAACGCUGGCGGCAGGCCUAACACAUGCAAGUCGAACGGUAACAGGAAGAAGCUUGCUUCUUGCUGACGAGUGGCGGACGGGUGAGUAAUGUCUGGGAAACUGCCUGAUGAGGGGGAUAACUACUGGAAACGGUAGCUAAUACCGCAUAACGUCGCAAGACCAAAAAGGGGGACCUUCGGGCCUCUUGCCAUCGGAUGUGCCCAGAUGGGAUUAGCUAGUAGGUGGGGUAACGGCUCACCUAGGCGACGAUCCCUAGCUGGUCUGAGAGGAUGACCAGCCACACUGGAACUGAGACACGGUCCAGACUCCUACGGGAGGCAGCAGUGGGGAAUAUUGCACAAUGGGCGCAAGCCUGAUGCAGCCAUGCCGCGUGUAUGAAGAAGGCCUUCGGGUUGUAAAGUACUUUCAGCGGGGAGGAAGGGAGUAAAGUUAAUACCUUUGCUCAUUGACGUUACCCGCAGAAGAAGCACCGGCUAACUCCGUG
RNAcentral lists this ribosomal RNA (506 nucleotides) under uncultured bacterium. Its description in RNAcentral is "bacterial SSU rRNA". It matches the Rfam family "Bacterial small subunit ribosomal RNA", at positions 10 to 507 of the family's 1533-position model. The record is from RNAcentral.